This 539-nucleotide ribosomal RNA is filed under the name Fusarium acutatum. RNAcentral describes it as "partial large subunit ribosomal RNA". It matches the Rfam family "Eukaryotic large subunit ribosomal RNA", at positions 87 to 649 of the family's 3401-position model. The record is from RNAcentral. Lineage: Eukaryota; Fungi; Ascomycota; Sordariomycetes; Hypocreales; Nectriaceae.
CGGCGAGUGAAGCGGCAACAGYUCAAAUUUGAAAUCUGGCUCUCGGGCCCGAGUUGUAAUUUGUAGAGGAUACUUUUGAUGCGGUGCCUUCCGAGUUCCCUGGAACGGGACGCCAUAGAGGGUGAGAGCCCCGUCUGGUUGGAUGCCAAAUCUCUGUAAAGUUCCUUCGACGAGUCGAGUAGUUUGGGAAUGCUGCUCUAAAUGGGAGGUAUAUGUCUUCUAAAGCUAAAUACCGGCCAGAGACCGAUAGCGCACAAGUAGAGUGAUCGAAAGAUGAAAAGCACUUUGAAAAGAGAGUUAAAAAGUACGUGAAAUUGUUGAAAGGGAAGCGUUUAUGACCAGACUUGGGYUUGGUUAAUCAUCUGGGGUUCUCCCCAGKGCACUUUUCCAGUCCAGGCCAGCAUCAGUUUUCCCCGGGGGAUAAAGACUUCGGRAAUGKGGYUCUCUUCGGGGAGUGUUAUAGCCCGUUGKGUAAUACCCUGGGGGGGACUGAGGUUCGCGCAUCUGCAAGGAUGYUGGCGUAAUGGUCAUCAACGACC